This 497-nucleotide ribosomal RNA is filed under the name uncultured bacterium. Its description in RNAcentral is "partial 16S ribosomal RNA". It matches the Rfam family "Bacterial small subunit ribosomal RNA", at positions 28 to 507 of the family's 1533-position model. The record is from RNAcentral.
GACGAACGCUGGCGGCGUGCCUAAUACAUGCAAGUCGAGCGAACAGACGAGGAGCUUGCUCCUCUGACGUUAGCGGCGGACGGGUGAGUAACACGUGGAUAACCUACCUAUAAGACUGGGAUAACUUCGGGAAACCGGAGCUAAUCCCGGAUAAUAUAUUGAACCGCAUGGUUCAAUAGUGAAAGACGGUUUUGCUGUCACUUAUAGAUGGAUCCGCGCCGCAUUAGCUAGUUGGUAAGGUAACGGCUUACCAAGGCAACGAUGCGUAGCCGACCUGAGAGGGUGAUCGGCCACACUGGAACUGAGACACGGUCCAGACUCCUACGGGAGGCAGCAGUAGGGAAUCUUCCGCAAUGGGCGAAAGCCUGACGGAGCAACGCCGCGUGAGUGAUGAAGGUCUUCGGAUCGUAAAACUCUGUUAUUAGGGAAGAACAAAUGUGUAAGUAACUAUGCACGUCUUGACGGUACCUAAUCAGAAAGCCACGGCUAACUACGUG